This 253-nucleotide ribosomal RNA is filed under the name uncultured bacterium. RNAcentral describes it as "partial 16S ribosomal RNA". It matches the Rfam family "Bacterial small subunit ribosomal RNA", at positions 524 to 776 of the family's 1533-position model. The record is from RNAcentral.
UACGAAGGGGGCUAGCGUUGCUCGGAAUCACUGGGCGUAAAGCGCACGUAGGCGGAUUGUUAAGUCAGGGGUGAAAUCCUGGAGCUCAACUCCAGAACUGCCUUUGAUACUGGCGAUCUUGAGUCCGGGAGAGAUGAGUGGAACUGCGAGUGUAGAGGUGAAAUUCGUAGAUAUUCGCAAGAACACCAGUGGCGAAGGCGGCUCACUGGCCCGGUACUGACGCUGAGGUGCGAAAGCGUGGGGAGCAAACAGG